AAUUCGAAGCAACGCGAAGAACCUUACCAGGUCUUGACAUCGAGUGGCGGAUACAGAGAUGUAUCCUUCCUUCGGGACACGAAGACAGGUGGUGCAUGGUUGUCGUCAGCUCGUGUCGUGAGAUGUUGGGUUAAGUCCCGCAACGAGCGCAACCCUUAUCAUUAGUUGCUACGCAAGAGCACUCUAGUGAGACUGCCGUGGAUAACACGGAGGAAGGUGGGGAUGACGUCAAAUCAUCAUGCCCUUUAUGACCUGGGCUACACACGUACUACAAUGGCACUCAAACAGAGGGAAGCGACACCGCGAGGUGAAGCAAAUCCCGAAAAAGUGUCUCAGUUCGGAUUGCAGGCUGCAACUCGCCUGCAUGAAGUCGGAAUUGCUAGUAAUCGCGGAUCAGCAUGCCGCGGUGAAUACGUUCCCGGGCCUUGUACACACCGCCCGUCACACCAUGAGAGCCGGUAACACCCGAAGUCAGUAGCCUAACCGCGAGGGGGGCGCUGCCGAAGGUGGGAUUGGUAAUUGGGGUGAAGUCGAACAAGGUAACC
Molecule: ribosomal RNA, 545 nt
Filed under: uncultured bacterium
Lineage: Bacteria
Description: bacterial SSU rRNA
Rfam family: Bacterial small subunit ribosomal RNA
Source: RNAcentral